RNAcentral lists this ribosomal RNA (249 nucleotides) under uncultured euryarchaeote. Its description in RNAcentral is "partial 16S ribosomal RNA". It matches the Rfam family "Archaeal small subunit ribosomal RNA", at positions 478 to 726 of the family's 1478-position model. Lineage: Archaea; Methanobacteriati; Methanobacteriota. The record is from RNAcentral.
GGCGGCCCAAGUGGUGGCCGCUAUUAUUGGGCCUAAAGCGUCCGUAGCCGGGCCCGUAAGUCCCUGGCGAAAUCCCACGGCUCAACCGUGGGGCUUGCUGGGGAUACUGCGGGCCUUGGGACCGGGAGAGGCCGGGGGUACCCCUGGGGUAGGGGUGAAAUCCUAUAAUCCCAGGGGGACCGCCAGUGGCGAAGGCGCCCGGCUGGAACGGGUCCGACGGUGAGGGACGAAGGCCAGGGGAGCGAACCG